Molecule: long non-coding RNA, 707 nt
Filed under: Salarias fasciatus (jewelled blenny)
Lineage: Eukaryota; Metazoa; Chordata; Actinopteri; Blenniiformes; Blenniidae
Description: lncRNA (ENSSFAG00005021890.1)
Source: RNAcentral
GUUGGAAAGCUGCAAACAUUUUGUUGAAUUUUUUAAUUUCAACAAAAGACUCUUCAUCAGAUUAACAAAAUUUCAGAUUGUCUCAAAGCUUUGCACAUUUUUAUUUUUAUUUCAAAACAGUCAAACCAGGACGAUGCCCGCGCAAUGCCUUUGGUAAGGACAGGCGGUGUCCCAGAAGACAAGAUUCAUGCUCUAAUGACUUUGAUUGCUCCAGUAACUGGAAAUGCUGCAAUAGUCAUUGUGGAGCCACCCGAAAAGGGUGAUAUCUGUCAGAGGAAGCUUGAGGUGAAAAAGAUUGAGGAGAAAUGAAACUCAUCAAGACAACUGGCUGCCGUUCCUGCAGCGAGCACGCAGCAUCAGCUGGGCUCAUUGGACGUGAACGCCUCACCUGGACUGUCCACACACUCUCCGGGCUCUUCAGGUUUGUCGAGUGCCCACACGCCAGCACGACCUUCCAGCACGUCCAGCACAGGCAGCAGGGGCAGGUGAGCAACUGUGAAGCUAUUUUAAUACCACAACGCUCAGUAUUUAUCGAAUCCAUAACACGUCAAAGCCACUGCAGUUUAAAGGAACUCAGUAGUGCCUGCGACUUUGAAAUGUAGGACUUAUAUUGGGAAGAGUGCGUUGGUAUUUUCAGAUAUUCCAGUGCUGCUGGAAGCAACAUUAGAGCACAGGACGGAACUUUGUGCUAUUAUUGUGUGUCAUGG